Molecule: ribosomal RNA, 432 nt
Filed under: Erythrobacter sp. AS-25
Lineage: Bacteria; Pseudomonadati; Pseudomonadota; Alphaproteobacteria; Sphingomonadales; Erythrobacteraceae
Description: bacterial SSU rRNA
Rfam family: Bacterial small subunit ribosomal RNA
Source: RNAcentral
UCAGAACGAACGCUGGCGGCAUGCCUAACACAUGCAAGUCGAACGAACCCUUCGGGGUUAGUGGCGCACGGGUGCGUAACGCGUGGGAACCUGCCUUUAGGUUCGGAAUAACUCAGAGAAAUUUGAGCUAAUACCGGAUGAUGUCUUCGGACCAAAGAUUUAUCGCCUUUAGAUGGGCCCGCGUUAGAUUAGAUAGUUGGUGGGGUAACGGCCUACCAAGUCGACGAUCUAUAGCUGGUCUGAGAGGAUGAUCAGCCACACUGGGACUGAGACACGGCCCAGACUCCUACGGGAGGCAGCAGUCCCCAAUAUUCCACAAUGGGCGAAAGCCUGAUCCAGCAAUGCCGCGUGAGUGAUGAAGGCCUUAGGGUUGUAAAGCUGUUUUACCAGGGAUGAUAAUGACAGUACCUGGAGAAUAAGCUCCGGCUAACU